RNAcentral lists this ribosomal RNA (446 nucleotides) under uncultured bacterium. Its description in RNAcentral is "bacterial SSU rRNA". It matches the Rfam family "Bacterial small subunit ribosomal RNA", at positions 329 to 792 of the family's 1533-position model. The record is from RNAcentral.
GUCCAGACUCCUACGGGAGGCAGCAGUAGGGAAUUUUGCGCAAUGGGCGAAAGCCUGACGCAGCAACGCCGCGUGAUCGAGACGCCCUUCGGGGUGUAAAGAUCUUUCAGUGGGGACGAAACUUGACGGUACCCACAGAGGAAGCACCGGCUAACUCCGUGCCAGCAGCCGCGGUAAUACGGGGGGUGCAAGCGUUGUCCGGAAUCAUUGGGCGUAAAGAGUUCGUAGGCGGCAAGGUAAGUCUGAUGUUAAAGCCCGGGGCUCAACUCCGGUUCGGCAUUGGAUACUAUCUAGCUAGAAUGUGGGAGAGGUAAAGGGAAUUCCUGGUGUAGCGGUGAAAUGCGUAGAUAUCAGGAGGAACAUCGGUGGCGAAAGCGCUUUACUGGACCAUUAUUGACGCUGAGGAACGAAAGCCAGGGGAGCAAAUGGGAUUAGAUACCCCUGUA